Molecule: RNase P RNA, 336 nt
Filed under: human gut metagenome
Also listed under: 1 other name
Description: Bacterial RNase P class A
Rfam family: Bacterial RNase P class A
About the family: Ribonuclease P (RNase P) is a ubiquitous endoribonuclease, found in archaea, bacteria and eukarya as well as chloroplasts and mitochondria. Its best characterised activity is the generation of mature 5'-ends of tRNAs by cleaving the 5'-leader elements of precursor-tRNAs.
Source: RNAcentral
GAGUGGGACGGACGGUUGCGCCUGAAGCCUUACGGCUUGGUGAGGAAAGUCCGGGCUCCGCAGAGCGGGAUAACGGCUAACGGCCGCCGAGGGUGACCUUAAGGGAAAGUGCAACAGAGAUAUACCGCCUGCUUCGGCAGGUAAGGGUGGAAAGGCGAGGUAAGAGCUCACCGGCGCAACGGAGACGUCUGCGCCCUGUAAACCCUAUCCGGAGCAACACCGAGGGAAGUGGCUUGCUCGGCCUAUACUUCAAAAGGUGGCGUGAGCGCACGGGUAACCGCGCGCCAAGACAGAUGACCGUCUUAAAUGACAGAACCCGGCUUACAGUCCCACUCG